GUGGGAGGUGGCAGGGCGUGAAAUUAGUCGAGGUGCGCGCAAGAUAACCCGGACACCAUGGGUAUCUAGAAAAUCUCUCCAUUUCAAUGUAGUUAUUAUGCUAAAGAUGAAAAAACAUGGCAUUUCAUGUUUCAAUAGCUGGUCUCCCUCUCCAUUAGGUAUAUAAUCUUAUUCAACUGGCUAACUCUAUUAUUUGUUACUUUCAUCUGUUUUUGUUUAAUGCGUUUAGG
This 230-nucleotide long non-coding RNA is filed under the name Capsicum annuum. Its description in RNAcentral is "long non-coding RNA (CANN_LNC020819)". Lineage: Eukaryota; Viridiplantae; Streptophyta; Magnoliopsida; Solanales; Solanaceae. The record is from RNAcentral.